CUGACUGACAACACAAAUGUCAUAUAACUUUUCUUCGAUGAUUUGACAAAAAGGCUAACAUUAAGUACCCAUGAAGUAAGCAGUAACUCCUUUCCACGUACUAUCAGUGGGCAAAAAAGGCACAGAGAAGUCUAUGGCUCAAGUUCACAGGUUAGAUGAAAUACAAGUUUCUGACCCGGUAUCAACUUGGAUGAAAAAGAGUUCUAUAGUUAUCCAUGGAGAUGAGCUGCUGGAAGAUCAGCUGAGACCUACGUCUGAUAAGGCUUCAUUUCUCCCACCUUUACAAACAGACUGCUGCGUUUUCUUGACCUUUUAAUAACUGAUAGUUUUAAAGAAAAGAUUGUUCUGAUAGCGUCUUAAAAGUUGAAAGAGGAUCAGAGAUAUCUCUGCAAGAUUAGAAGAAGCCAUACUUACAGCAGCUUAUGACACAGUGAAGUACUGUACAUGUUGCAGUAACUCUUCCAAAGAUGUUUGAGACCAAGAACAGCUGAAUUGCUCUGCGUUUUAAGAGGCUCUUUUGGGAGACAUCAUUAUACUGCUGCUUCCCCUAUACAGAAACCUGUAGCCCUUGUGGCAACCUGGUGCAGUCCAGUGUCUUCCUGAAUGUGUCUGCUGAGCCAUAAGCAGAAUAUAUAAGCACGAGCAUCUGGCUUCUUCGAAGAAUAGCAUCAGAAUGAAGAAAAUGAUGGAGGAGGACGAGCUGUGAGCCUUGUUGCUGAUCCGCACAGAG
Dromaius novaehollandiae (emu) is the source of this 730-nucleotide long non-coding RNA. RefSeq lists it as uncharacterized. The transcript is spliced from 6 exons. The record is from RefSeq and is a predicted model, not a curated record. NCBI's taxonomy places the organism in Eukaryota, Metazoa, Chordata, Aves, Casuariiformes, Dromaiidae.